RNAcentral lists this ribosomal RNA (497 nucleotides) under uncultured bacterium. RNAcentral's name for it is "partial 16S ribosomal RNA". It matches the Rfam family "Bacterial small subunit ribosomal RNA", at positions 28 to 507 of the family's 1533-position model. The record is from RNAcentral.
GAUGAACGCUGGCGGCGUGCCUAAUACAUGCAAGUCGAGCGAACAGACGAGGAGCUUGCUCCUCUGACGUUAGCGGCGGACGGGUGAGUAACACGUGGAUAACCUACCUAUAAGACUGGGAUAACUUCGGGAAACCGGAGCUAAUACCGGAUAAUAUAUUGAACCGCAUGGUUCAAUAGUGAAAGACGGUUUUGCUGUCACUUAUAGAUGGAUCCGCGCCGCAUUAGCUAGUUGGUAAGGUAACGGCUUACCAAGGCAACGAUGCGUAGCCGACCUGAGAGGGGGGUCGGGCACAAGGGAACUGUGACACGGUACAGACUCCGACGGGAGGCAGAAGUAGGGAAGCUUCCGCAAAGGGCGAAAGCCUGAAGGAGCAAGGCAGAGUGAGUGAUGAAGGUCUUCGGAUCGUAAGACUCUGUUGUCAGGGAAGAACAAAUGUGUAAGUAAAAACGCACGGCUUGACGGUACCGAAGCAGAACGGCACGGCUAACUACGGG